Long non-coding RNA from Haliotis rubra (blacklip abalone), 494 nucleotides. RefSeq lists it as uncharacterized. Lineage: Eukaryota; Metazoa; Mollusca; Gastropoda; Lepetellida; Haliotidae. The transcript is spliced from 4 exons. The record is from RefSeq and is a predicted model, not a curated record.
ACCUGCAAGUCAUUUAACUUCGAUCUGGUGACACGAUCCUGCCAACUCAACAGCAACAACAGCUACCACACCAACGUCGUCUCUUUACAAGACUAUGUCUUCAGUGACAUUGACUUGUGGCCUUCUACUCUCUCUGGUCCAUGUGCACAGCUCCAGUGUCAGCCUGGAUACCGAUGUAAAGUAAACAGACUGGACCGUCCAGCUUGUCAUCCAGAAUUCCCAGGUUGUGGCUCUCCGCCUCCAUUGAUACCAAACAGCGAAGUGGUGUAUGAUGGCCACUACAUAGGAGCCGAGGCUAAGUACACCUGCGCAGACGACUUCCUGUCGUGUCACAAGAACACCACAAGCGUGUGCCAGUCAUCGACGGGCAGGUGGGAGGAGCUGACCGACCUCUGUGGACGUUUCAGAUUCCAAAACCAGGGAGUGGUACAUUUCCCCUGUGGCCAAACAAGUCACUUCACUGCGACUAUCAAAGGAAUGCUCACGGGUGAGAG